Molecule: ribosomal RNA, 881 nt
Filed under: uncultured bacterium
Lineage: Bacteria
Description: bacterial SSU rRNA
Rfam family: Bacterial small subunit ribosomal RNA
Source: RNAcentral
UGCAAGUCGAACGAGGUCGCAAGACCGAGUGGCGGACGGGUGAGUACAACAUAGGUAACCUGCCCUUUAGUGGGGGAUACCCAGCCGAAAGGUUGGCUAAUACCGCAUAUUAUCCCAGUUUGAGAUAGCUGGGAUGAAAGAUUUAUCGCUAAGGGAUGGGCCUGUGGUCGAUUAGCUUGUUGGUGGGGUAACGGCCUACCAAGGCGACGAUCGAUAGCUGGUCUGAGAGGAUGAUCAGCCACACUGGGACUGAGACACGGCCCAGACUCCUACGGGAGGCAGCAGUGGGGAAUUUUCCGCAAUGGGCGAAAGCCUGACGGAGCGACGCCGCGUGGAGGAUGAAGGAUUUCGGUCUGUAAACUCCUGUCAGGGGGGACGAAUCAACUGACGGUACCCCCAAAGGAAGCAUCGGCUAACUACGUGCCAGCAGCCGCGGUAAGACGUAGGAUGCGAGCGUUGUUCGGAUUUAUUGGGCGUAAAGCGUACGUAGGCGGCUUGUUAAGUCUGGUGUUAAAGCUAGGGGCUCAACCCCUGUGUUGCACUGGAAACUGGCAGGCUUGAGUGUGGUAGGGGAAGGUGGAAUUCCGAGUGUAGCGGUGAAAUGCGUAGAUAUUCGGAAGAACACCGGUGGCGAAAGCGACCUUCUGGGCCAUUACUGACGCUGAGGUACGAAAGCUUGGGGAGCGAACGGGAUUAGAUACCCCGGUAGUCCAAGCGGUAAACGAUGAUCACUAGGUGUAGCGGGUAUCAACCCCUGCUGUGCCGUAGCUAACGCGUUAAGUGAUCCGCCUGGGGAGUACGGUCGCAAGACUGAAACUCAAAGGAAUUGACGGGGGCCCGCACAAGCGGUGGAGGAUGUGGUUUAAUUCGACGCAACGCGA